Molecule: ribosomal RNA, 427 nt
Filed under: uncultured Aeromonas sp.
Lineage: Bacteria; Pseudomonadati; Pseudomonadota; Gammaproteobacteria; Aeromonadales; Aeromonadaceae
Description: bacterial SSU rRNA
Rfam family: Bacterial small subunit ribosomal RNA
Source: RNAcentral
AGUGGGGAAUAUUGCACAAUGGGGGAAACCCUGAUGCAGCCAUGCCGCGUGUGUGAAGAAGGCCUUCGGGUUGUAAAGCACUUUCAGCGAGGAGGAAAGGGUAGCGGCUAAUAUCCGCUACCUGUGACGUUACUCGCAGAAGAAGCACCGGCUAACUCCGUGCCAGCAGCCGCGGUAAUACGGAGGGUGCAAGCGUUAAUCGGAAUUACUGGGCGUAAAGCGCACGCAGGCGGUUGGAUAAGUUAGAUGUGAAAGCCCCGGGCUCAACCUGGGAAUUGCAUUUAAAACUGUCCAGCUAGAGUCUUGUAGAGGGGGGUAGAAUUCCAGGUGUAGCGGUGAAAUGCGUAGAGAUCUGGAGGAAUACCGGUGGCGAAGGCGGCCCCCUGGACAAAGACUGACGCUCAGGUGCGAAAGCGUGGGGAGCAAA